GUCGCCGUGGGCGCGCACCGCGGCAGAAAAAGCCCUCUGUUUGCCCCGAAGUGCACGAGCGGCGGGACGCUGCCGCUCUGCCGCAGGCGCUGUGCUGUACCCCUGCUAAUCUUCCUAAGGCUUGUCCCAACCCUCUGUCAAUGGGAGCCCCGGCGAGAUAACCGUGUCCCCUCCCUCCUGUCGCUGUCGCAGGAGAAAACGCGAGCCUGUGGUGCUGCCGGCUCUCCUCAGGCGGCUCCCGGCCCGUUCCGGGUUUGCGAGACACCCCCAUCCCUACGCAGGUUUUAGACGCCCUGAAGGACUCCGUAAAGCCCCCGCCGAUCCUCACUCCCGGAGGGAGACGCGACGGAUCGCACCGUCGGGAGGCGCCGGGAGCGCCGUGCAAGGGAUGCGCCGCCGGCCGGGGGAAGACCCUGGUGGCGAGGGACACCUCGGCGCGGAUGGGGUCCCCUCCAGCUGCCUGCCAAGCGACACUUCACCGUGAGAGCCAGGCUCCUCGUGUCUGCGUGCAUAUUUGUGUAUUUAGGUGCCCUUACAGCUCAGAUUUAAUUAGGAUUAAUUAGGUACAUCAGGAUCUGCGUGAAACAUAAGCACCUAUUUAACAUGCAUUGGUAGAAAGCAUUUGUUUCAGGCUCUUGCUUGAAUUUAAUCUACCCUUCUGUGUCUCUCUGCAAGCAAUAGUAAAGAGCUGCUGCCUUGAUGCAUUCAGUUCUCUCCAGUGGGAGUUCACGUGUGCUUUCUUCCUCGAGAGGACAGCUCGGAGGACAGGAAGGUCUGAGGAGUAUGAAGGCAAUGGUCAGUGCUCUCCUUUCGUAGGGGUGAACGAAGCCCUCUCUGGACUACCCUACUGCAAGUGCCCCACUACAGUUGUCUGUGAAGUAGAAAUCAAAAGAGGCAGAGGCAGGGGCUAGAAGUCCUUCAAAAAUUGAGAAGUGAGAAAGGAAGGAAAGGCAAGUUAGUUCUCGAGAAGCAAGUUAACUUUGCCCAAGAGAAGAAGAGGAAGAAGAGAGGGAGUUGAGAAAGAGAAGUUUUGAAAAGGGAAUGGGUGGUAAAAAAAUAAUGUGUCUUGGGAGAACUAACAGGGAGAUACUGUGGUCUAAGAAAGGAGAUGAGAUGGUCUGGGGAGAGUGGUCACUCGGAAUUUACAGGAGUUUCAUCUGAACAAGACUAAGAAUAUUGUAACAAAGAUGUGGACCACUACUUUUUCCAUGGUGGAAAUCCAGUUACCAGGACUUUGACCACCAACUAUUUUCAUUUGUGGGAGUGGAAUGGCAAAAUUUGAGACCAGACUUCAUAAAACCUGAGCUUCAUGGAUUCUUCCUGGGCAUAUUUUCACAAGCUUCAGAGAUGAUGAGGAGGAUUGGACUUCAUCUGUGGGUAUUACAAUGGCUGGGUACAUUUAGCUUGAACUGCAUGUUCUAGGAAAUUCAGCUGCUGUGGAAAUCUGCACAUUCAAGCACGAAAGAUAUUGAAGAACCAGAAUAACAGGCUGUCAGGGACCUCAGAAAGUCAUCAAGGGCUCAUGCACUUUCCUCCUGACAGGGUGCUACAGACAUUUCCUUGGAUAAUUUUGUGAGAGCAAUGCUCUGCAGAGUCUGGAGAAGAGGGAGGGAAAGAAGGAGGACAGACAUUAGCAGUGUAUUCUGUGUCCUUGGCCGAUAGAGAGCUACAGAGUGUGACUGAGAAACACAAUCAAGUGAGCAAUUAGCAAAGGUCAGAGCUGUGUUAAUUUCCUUCAAGCACCUUUGCGAAAGUUAGAAGACAAAAUGUACCCUCUCAAUGUUGUGGGGACCUGCAGGUAGUUUCUGCCUCAGUAAGCAAGAGCACUGAAGGAGACACCUUCCACACACAUCUUGAGCAUCACUGAAUUUGGAGAACACAAGAAAGGAGGCUGUGCACCUAAUGUCAAAUGGGGAAAUACUCCCAGCUGCUUCUUUUCAGAUGAUAUCUAGGAAAAUGUGAUAAUUGAUCUUGUGGUUUUUGUUCACUAUAAGGAAGUUACAGCCCUGCCUGAUACCAGAGGAGCAGAGAACAGCUGUGUCAUUUUAUAACAUGCAGUGGUGUGGUAUUUUAUAUGCACAACAUGUGAGGCUUUGCUCCUAUGCUAAAUUACUCACAACCCCUAUGGAGCAGCUUUAAAUCAGAGUUCUUUUUGUGAGCUUGGGCUCUCUGGAAGUAAUCUUCCGUAUCUCUGUGAAACAUUUCAGUCAUGUCUUCAAAUCUCCUGUCAGCAAUUCUCCUAUCUGUGAAUAAAUAGCAUUCUGACCUGUCUUCUACCACAACAACAACAGAAAGUCAACCAGGCCUCUGCAAAACACGAGUGGAAACUACAUCCAUCUUCUACAUUACCAUCAGCAUGAGUCAAGAGCCUCAAGCUGUCUCUUAGAACUUAACAGUGUGACGAUUCAGCAAAAGAGCUCUCCUAAUAGGGAAAAUACAACUCAUUAUCUAGCUAAUUAAAAGCAGCCUCUACUCCCCCUUCUUACCAGCCUACCUUCCUGUAGGGUUGGACAGGCUUCAAAUAGUUUUUAAAGGGGUAGAUUUUUUUGUGCUUUUGGAUACAAUCUAAAGAGCAUUGAUUUGCAGAGGAGCAAGUUAAGGGCUGUUCCUAAGUCUCUUUUUCUGAGAAGUUAAUCACAAGGAUGGUAUCAUUCCUGGGUAGGAAUUCUAUCUAAGGGAAAAUGCCUUUUAAUAUUUUUUUUUUUUAAUUUACAGGUCUUACUUACACCCUUUUCUUACAAAAAUAUGUUUUUUAAAAAAGGAAUUUAAAAUGCAUUAAUAAAAUUAUUAUUUUUAAAAGAGUGAUCCUUCAAAAGUGAAAUAGAUAAUAAUAAUGACAUUGGUGAUCGUGUGCUUCAAAUUCUUGUAUUCUAUUUUGCUGUGAUUUGAGAUAUGCUGUUCACUAAUUGAGCAUGUUUCAAAAUCAUUUCUGUGGUCAGUGAACAGUAAUUAAUGCAUUUGCUUUUGCUUUCUUCCAUUAUGUAGGAAUGCAAGCUGUGUUUAACUAACAUUAACUCUUUAAGUUAGAUUAAAAUAAGCAAAUGAAAUGCAGUCGUUCAUUUCAACAGACUCAGAAAUUUAAUGUGCUGCUUUGUUCCCUUGCCUUCUUUUUCUGUUGAAAACAAUUUAAAAAUCUUGUAAUGUCUAAUAGAAGAAAUAUCAAAACCUUAGCAGGGGUGCUUAUAGCAUCUGCAGAGGUAUGAAGGGUAGUGAAAGCUCACAGCAGGCACUCUACUAUAGAUAAGCUGGUAAAUUAUUUUUUACUACCUUAGGUACCUUGCUUGACUACCUGAGAAAAACAUGUUUGCACUAGUUUAGUUUUUUGCUCUGCUGAGACCCAAGUUUGUAUCCCUGCUGACAGAAUUGACCUUAUUGCUGUCAAACCUUGCUGGUUUCACACCCCAUGUAAAUUAAUGAAUGGUAUUAAACUGUCAAGGAAUGUCCACAAGGCUUGUGCAGUGUUUUAGGGUCCCCUACUUGCUCUUGUACCCCCAGGGUAUCAGUCCUGAAGGAUGCUCUGAGUAGAGGUGGUUCCAGCUUUUCACUGUGCUUCACAGUUAAGUGUCUCUCCACCAGAUUCCAUCAUCUCUCAACAAAGGCUGAAAUGAAAUUAAUGAAAUCUCAUUAGAGAAUUGCUAUUCACUUUCACAGAAGGGAAGAUUAAAAACUAUGUCUAUACACAUAAAGAGAGAACCUUCUAUGUUAGCAUACUCAAACUUGUUUCUCCUCGUUGGCCUCAGAGCCUCCUACAUGGUGAGUACAGCUCCACAAGCUCUUAGCUGCUCCAGACAUCCUGGAAAACAUCCGUUCUGUCAAGACCUUGCCAAAGUACAUGUCAUCAAUGGCUAUAACUAGAGUUCAUGCCAGUGAAGACAUCUGUGAGCUAAGGCUGUAAUUACAUACUUUUAGCUCCUGCAGGCAGUGUAUCUCAGCUGUUCAACCCAUGCCAGAAAGGGAUGCUGGACCUCCUAUUCACUGAUACCCUUCCUGACCUGCUAUGUAAAAUAAUGUGUCACAGAGAAUACAUUUCAGUUACUUAAUAGGGGAAAUUAUUCACUCCUAAACUGCCAAAAAUCUCUGCCUAGAGGGUGGGAUAGCAGACGGCCUUCUGUUAGAGCCAAAAUUGAUUUUGCCAGAACAUUUCCUUCAUCCCUUAUCCUUAGCACUGUUUCCAGAACUUGUCCUACCUGUUGUCCACUGCAUAAACCAACCUGAUUUUUUCUUUGGGCUGAGCCAAGGUUGAAGGAACUUGGAAUCAACUUAAUCAGGCAGAGCUGAUGUUUCCCAGCUUGCUGAUGUGCUGUGCUAAUGAGAUGUUAUUGCCCAAAGUAAAGAAAAGCAUCUGUUUCUUACCUGUAAAGAAAGACUAAGGGUUGCUUCUAUUUGCUUUAAGGUGAGUUUGACAAGCUUGUCUUCCUUCUUAGAAAAGUUCACUGCAUGUAUUUUGCUCUUAGCCUCUUGGAGAGGCCCAAAUAGAAUUCAAUUCAUGUGUCUAGAAAAUUCUGAAUGUACUUUCCUGUUCCAAGUGUUUACACUUGAAUAGAAAGAUUACUACUCUGCUUUGUAGGGAUUUCCUGUAAGAUAUCAUCUAUGUAUGAUCCAUGUUUGUAAAUGCAAAUAAUACAUUAUCACUAAAAAUAAAUAUAUCAGCAGAAUAAAUGUUUGAGAGACAUGUAAGAGAUACAUGGAAUGAAGAGUGUGUUUAGAUUUCAUGAAGUUUUAAUUAAGCAAACAUCUGGAUAUACAAAAAAUCACAGCCAGUUAAUUCCAGCAGCCCACAGAGUCUUCAAGCCCUUGAGAAUAUAGGAAUUAGAUUUUUAAGAGGCUCUCUUCUUUUUGUAUACUGCAAGCUGUUGGAAAAAAUUAUUUAUUAAUUGCUUAUUAACUAAGCAGAGGAAUUAUCUUUCCUGUGCCAGCAACAUGACAAUAGUUGCCCCAAAGUUUUGCUAGCCUGGAAAAUGUUACGCCCAUGCAAAGCAAAUUGGUUAUUUAUUUUCACCUUUUAAUUUUUCAUGAGUGUUGUGUAUGUAUAGUUCUUGCCAAAAUGCCUUUCUCAGAAAAUGGAAACCUUUCUUCAUUAAUAUUUGUAUUUUUUAACUGAAUGCCAAGCAUCUAGAUUGUAUCAGAACUGAGUCCCUUAAAUAAAAUCCCUUCAAAUAAAACAAGCAGAAAAAAUCUAUUCAUCUCAAGGAGGUUAAAUCACAUAUAAAUAGGUUGAGAUUACAGGAUGGAUCUUAGUGAAGGGGAAGCUUAUCUGAGAAGCAGGAGAUAAGCAUAAAGCCUCCAGUCAUAGUGACAGUAAAAAGCUUCUGAAAUAAGAAAAGAUCUUUUUAAGUCAAGAUACUGGUUGUGACUGACAGUCUGAAAGAGGAAAAAAAAUUAAACUGCCAAGUAUAAGGAUUGUUAAGAGGGAAGAGGAGAAAGGAAGAAAAUAUAUAGCUAAGGAAAAGCAAAAGAAGUAUGGAGUUAUUAUUUCUGUAUUUUAUAAGCCCUCAGGCACAUCUUUUCAGUGUUUAUGGGGAGUACAAUAACCAUGUAUUUAAUACUAUGUACAAUACUGAUAUAUAUAAUACUCACAAUAAAUGUGGUUAUUCAAACCUG
Non-coding RNA from Lonchura striata (white-rumped munia), 5601 nucleotides. NCBI's taxonomy places the organism in Eukaryota, Metazoa, Chordata, Aves, Passeriformes, Estrildidae. The record is from RefSeq and is a predicted model, not a curated record.